GAUGAACGCUGGCGGCGUGCUUAACACAUGCAAGUCGAACGAUGAAGCCCAGCUUGCUGGGUGGAUUAGUGGCGAACGGGUGAGUAACACGUGAGUAACCUGCCCUUGACUCUGGGAUAAGCCCGGGAAACUGGGUCUAAUACCGGAUAGGAGCGCCUGUCGCAUGACGGGUGUUGGAAAGAUUUUUCGGUCAUGGAUGGACUCGCGGCCUAUCAGCUUGUUGGUGAGGUAAUGGCUCACCAAGGCGACGACGGGUAGCCGGCCUGAGAGGGUGACCGGCCACACUGGGACUGAGACACGGCCCAGACUCCUACGGGAGGCAGCAGUGGGGAAUAUUGCACAAUGGGCGGAAGCCUGAUGCAGCGACGCCGCGUGAGGGAUGACGGCCUUCGGGUUGUAAACCUCUUUCAGUAGGGAAGAAGCGAAAGUGACGUACCUGCAGAAGA
This 446-nucleotide ribosomal RNA is filed under the name Micrococcus sp. oral taxon F54. RNAcentral's name for it is "bacterial SSU rRNA". It matches the Rfam family "Bacterial small subunit ribosomal RNA", at positions 28 to 488 of the family's 1533-position model. The record is from RNAcentral. Lineage: Bacteria; Bacillati; Actinomycetota; Actinomycetes; Micrococcales; Micrococcaceae.